Molecule: ribosomal RNA, 458 nt
Filed under: uncultured bacterium
Lineage: Bacteria
Description: partial 16S ribosomal RNA
Rfam family: Bacterial small subunit ribosomal RNA
Source: RNAcentral
GAUGAAUGCUGGCGGCGUGCUUAACACAUGCAAGUCGAGCGGAAAGGCCCUUCGGGGUACUCGAGCGGCGGACGGCUGAGUAACGCGUGGGAACAUGCCCCAAAGUGAGGAAUAACUGCCCGAAAGGGUGGCUAAUGCCGCAUAUGAUCUUCGGAUUAAAGGAUUUAUCCGCUUUGGGAGUGGCCUGCGUAUGAUUAGGUAGUUGGUGAGGUAAUGGCUCACCAAGCCGACGAUCAUUAGCUGGUCUGAGAGGAUGACCAGCCAGACUGGAACUGAGACACGGUCCAGACUCCUACGGGAGGCAGCAGUGAGGAAUAUUCCACAAUGGGCGAAGGCCUGAUGGAGCAACGCCGCGUGAAGGAUGAAGGCCCUCGGGUUGUAAACUUCUUUUAUAAGUGAAGAAUAUGACGGUAACUUAUGAAUAAGCACCGGCUAACUACGUGCCAGCAGCCGCGGUA